Molecule: ribosomal RNA, 433 nt
Filed under: uncultured bacterium
Lineage: Bacteria
Description: partial 16S ribosomal RNA
Rfam family: Bacterial small subunit ribosomal RNA
Source: RNAcentral
AACGAACGCUGGCGGCAUGCCUAACCCAUGCAAGUCGAACGAGACCUUCGGGUCUAGCGGCGCACGGGUUCGUAACGCGUGGGAACCUGCCCUUAGGUUCGGAAUAACUCCCCGAAAGGGGUGCUAAUACCGGCUAAUGUCUUCGGACCAAAGAUUUAUCGCCUUUGGAUGGGCCCGCGUUGGAUUAGCUAGUUGGUAGGGUAAAAGCCUACCAAGGCGACGAUCCAUAGCUGGUCUGAGAGGAUGAUCAGCCACACUGGGACUGAGACACGGCCCAGACUCCUACGGGAGGCAGCAGUGGGGAAUAUUGGACAAUGGGCGAAAGCCUGAUCCAGCAAUGCCGCGUGAGUGAUGAAGGCCUUAGGGUUGUAAAGCUCUUUUACCCGGGAUGAUAAUGACAGUACCGGGAGAAUAAGCUCCGGCUAACUCCGUG